AACCAUAGAAACCUGCGGAGUACCUGCGGAAGGAUCAUUACCGAGUCACGUGCUCAAAUAACCCUUCUGUGGACCUGAAAUAAAACCGUUGCCUCGGCGGGCGGUCCCCCCAACCAAACCCCACGUGGUGGGUUAGGGGACCAGACAGUCCGGCACGCUUAAGGCGUCCGGCGCCAGCCGCUGGCCCCAAACAAUUAAGCUCCUAGUAACCUUUACCUUCUGAGUUUCAAUAUUUUAAAA
This 240-nucleotide unclassified non-coding RNA is filed under the name soil metagenome. RNAcentral describes it as "partial contains 5.8S ribosomal RNA, internal transcribed spacer 2, and large subunit ribosomal RNA". The record is from RNAcentral.